AAUCUCUCUAAGUCUCAUCCAUCGACCUUUGUGCUUAGCGCAUGUAAAAUUAAUUAAAAUGUCACGUUUGAAGGGAAAAAACAGAAAUUAUUUGAUAAACCAAAAGAAAUAACGCUUUUGGCUUGGAAUCCUCGAACAUUUGCAAACGCUAGAAGUAGUAAUUUCUUGCCCAACUCCAAGAAAGAAAACUUGAAAGGAAAGUUGAGCACAAAUUCUGUUUGAUUCUCGACCUGGUAAGGUGAAUCUUGUUGACGAGGAAACAAUGAAAAAUCAUCCCAAGAUUUCCGUUGCUUUACACCAACUUAGCUUAUUCAUGGAGAUUUCCUGCAAAUUUUUCCAACUGAUUUAUACUGUUGAAAUGUUCCAAUUCUUUUCUGGAAAGAGAACAACUUUUCUGCAAUUUCAUCUUUCGCGAAAAAGGGUUUUGUUGAGAAAUGACCACAUUGCUUCAUGGGGUUCUCCAUGCCAAAAUACAUGAGAUUGAUAGAUUGCAUUUGGGUUGUGGGUUGCCCUUAUUUAGACAGGAGAUACUUUGAAAAAAAAUUAGGAAGAAGCCUAUAAAUCUCUUUGAUUAGGUCUUCCUUGAGAUAAAUUGUUAAAUGACCGAUUCAAUGCAUUAUUCUAAUAGUUCAUUGAGAAAAUUCCUCCAUUAUAGUGCUAAAUUCGGUUAUACAAUCGGUUUGGAUAAGAGUGGUGUUAUAAUGUUACUCCUAUUGAUGAAUGCUACAUGAUGUACAUAAGCUAGUGAGCAUAUGGAUAUUUAUAAACAAGCAAAAGAAUUGAAAGAGAUACGGUUUUAUUUAUUCGAUCUUGUUGUACGUACUAUAGCAAGAGUACAUACCAAUAUCCAAUACAAAUUAUAGAAGCCCAUUAAUACUCGCAGAUUAAAGCUAGUAUUAUCGGACCAAACAUUAUAUUGACACACGUGCAGGAAAACAAAAAUUGAAGUACACUCCAAGCCAUGACUAUAUAAGUCACAAAUUAACCAUAAUAAAUGACAAGGAAAUAUAACAAACAUUGUGCCUUAGCUUGACAGCAGAUGAUAAUUGCGAAGGCAUUCAUUGCAGAUUUGCAGGCAUAUGUUAUCUGUACAAGUCAACCCAGUUGGCAUAUGUUGACAUCUGUACAAGUCAACCCAGUUGGCAUAUGUUAUCUGUACAAGUCAACCCAGUCAAAGGGCAACAUGGGAAAAAAACAGGAUGACAUUCAUGGUCAGCGUGGUCCUCGCAAGGUCCUUCUUUACAUUUAAAUUCACCAGCUGCAACUUGAUGGCAUAUAAGUUCAUCACAACAAUCCGUUGGAAUUACUAGAGGGUUACAUAUAGAGUCAUAUGCUUUGCAUGUCUGAGCUUCCACCUCAAAGGUAACCAUUUGGAGCAUCACCACUGACGCCAAUUACAAAUCAUAA
Long non-coding RNA from Spinacia oleracea (spinach), 1407 nucleotides. RefSeq lists it as uncharacterized. NCBI's taxonomy places the organism in Eukaryota, Viridiplantae, Streptophyta, Magnoliopsida, Caryophyllales, Amaranthaceae. The transcript has 3 exons. The record is from RefSeq and is a predicted model, not a curated record.